GAUGAACGCUGGCGGCGUGCCUAAUACAUGCAAGUCGACCGAAAAGCCGGGGGCUUUGCUCCCUGACCUUAGGGGGCGCCGGGGGGGUAAACCGGUGGAAACCUUCCUUUAAGGCCGGGGAAACCUUGGGAAACCGGGAGCAAAUCCGGGAAAAUAUAUUGAACCGCAGGGUUCAUUGGUAAAGACCGGUUUUGCGGUACCUAAUGGUGGAUCCGCGCCGCAUUAGCUAGUUGGUAAGGUAACGGCUUACCAAGGCGACGAUGCGUAGCCGACCUGAGAGGGUGAUCGGCCACACUGGAACUGAGACACGGUCCAGACUCCUACGGGAGGCAGCAGUAGGGAAUCUUCCGCAAUGGGCGAAAGCCUGACGGAGCAACGCCGCGUGAGUGAUGAAGGUCUUCGGAUCGUAAAACUCUGUUAUUAGGGAAGAACAAAUGUGUAAGUAACUAUGCACGUCUUGACGGUACCUAAUCAGAAAGCCACGGCUAACUACGUG
This 496-nucleotide ribosomal RNA is filed under the name uncultured bacterium. RNAcentral's name for it is "partial 16S ribosomal RNA". It matches the Rfam family "Bacterial small subunit ribosomal RNA", at positions 28 to 507 of the family's 1533-position model. The record is from RNAcentral.